This 528-nucleotide ribosomal RNA is filed under the name uncultured Burkholderia sp. RNAcentral describes it as "bacterial SSU rRNA". It matches the Rfam family "Bacterial small subunit ribosomal RNA", at positions 360 to 871 of the family's 1533-position model. Lineage: Bacteria; Pseudomonadati; Pseudomonadota; Betaproteobacteria; Burkholderiales; Burkholderiaceae. The record is from RNAcentral.
AAUUUUGGACAAUGGGGGCAACCCUGAUCCAGCAAUGCCGCGUGUGUGAAGAAGGCCUUCGGGUUGUAAAGCACUUUUGUCCGGGAAGAAAUCGCACCUGAUAAUACCGGGUGUGGAUGACGGUACCGGAAGAAUAAGGACCGGCUAACUACGUGCCAGCAGCCGCGGUAAUACGUAGGGUCCAAGCGUUAAUCGGAAUUACUGGGCGUAAAGCGUGCGCAGGCGGUUGUGCAAGACCGAUGUGAAAUCCCCGGGCUUAACCUGGGAAUUGCAUUGGUGACUGCACGGCUAGAGUGUGUCAGAGGGGGGUAGAAUUCCACGUGUAGCGGUGAAAAUGCGUAGAGAUGUGGAGGAAAUACCGAUGGCGAAGGCAGCCCCCUGGGAUAACACUGACGCUCAUGCACGAAAAGCGUGGGGAGCAAAACAGAGAUUAGAUACCCUGGUAGUCCACGCCCGUAAACGAAUGUCAAACUUAGUUGUUGGGGAUUCAUUUCCUUAGUAACGUAGCUAACGGCGUGAAAGUGACCG